Molecule: ribosomal RNA, 253 nt
Filed under: uncultured bacterium
Lineage: Bacteria
Description: partial 16S ribosomal RNA
Rfam family: Bacterial small subunit ribosomal RNA
Source: RNAcentral
UACGUAGGUGGCAAGCGUUAUCCGGAUUUACUGGGUGUAAAGGGCGUGUAGGCGGGGAAGCAAGUCAGAUGUGAAAACCACGGGCUCAACCCGUGGCCUGCAUUUGAAACUGUUUUUCUUGAGUGCUGGAGAGGCAAUCGGAAUUCCGUGUGUAGCGGUGAAAUGCGUAGAUAUACGGAGGAACACCAGUGGCGAAGGCGGAUUGCUGGACAGUAUCUGACGCUGAGGCGCGAAAGCGUGGGGAGCAAACAGG